This 341-nucleotide ribosomal RNA is filed under the name Nematoda environmental sample. RNAcentral's name for it is "SSU rRNA". It matches the Rfam family "Eukaryotic small subunit ribosomal RNA", at positions 1300 to 1665 of the family's 1831-position model. Lineage: Eukaryota; Metazoa; Nematoda. The record is from RNAcentral.
GGUGGAGCGAUUUGUCUGGUUAAUUCCGAUAACGAACGAGACUCUGGCCUAUUAAAUAGGCGAUAUAUUUAAAAGUAUAUCGCGCUUCUUAGAGGGACAAGCGGCGUCUAGCCGCAUGAAAUAGAGCAAUAACAGGUCUGUGAUGCCCUUAGAUGUCCGGGGCUGCACGCGCGCUACACUGAAAGACUCAGAGUGCGUUUUGCCUAGUUCGGAAGAACCGGGUAACCCAAGUAAAUUCUUUCGUGCUUGGGAUAGGGAAUUGCAAUUAUUUCCCUUAAACGAGGAAUUCCCAGUAAAUGCGGGUCAUAAGCUCGCGUUGAUUACGUCCCUGCCCUUUGUAC